AACAAUGUUCGGAGGAACGGAAGAACGUCAAUCGAACGGAAUAUUAGGUCAUGAUAGCCACGAAGAAACUAAAAAAUUUCGAUGAAGAUUCCAUCAUUUUUCCGACAAAUAUUCGUAAAAUGACGAAAAACGACGAAUACGAAAUCUGUUAGGUUUGAUUUAUUAAUUUCUUGAACGUGAUUACUAUCGAUUGUACGCAGGGUACUUGUAAGGAAGGAUAGAGAGUUAUGAACCUUUUAAAUACUUAAAAUGGAAAAAUUAAUUUUCCAAAUACUUACGAGAUUCACAUACAAUUUAUUACACAGGAACUUCAGACUUGAUGCUUCAACCGAAUAAAAAUUUGAAAAAUUUGAUAACGCGCA
Long non-coding RNA from Dufourea novaeangliae, 362 nucleotides. RefSeq lists it as uncharacterized. NCBI's taxonomy places the organism in Eukaryota, Metazoa, Arthropoda, Insecta, Hymenoptera, Halictidae. The transcript has 3 exons. The record is from RefSeq and is a predicted model, not a curated record.